This 274-nucleotide ribosomal RNA is filed under the name uncultured bacterium. Its description in RNAcentral is "partial 16S ribosomal RNA". It matches the Rfam family "Bacterial small subunit ribosomal RNA", at positions 523 to 796 of the family's 1533-position model. The record is from RNAcentral.
AUACGUAGGAUCCAAGCGUUGUCCGGAUUUACUGGGCGUAAAGGGUGUGUAGGCGGUAUGGUAAGUCUCAUGUGAAAUCUCCCGGCCCAACUGGGAGGGGUCAUGGGAAACUGUCAAACUCGAGGGCAGCAGAGGAGAGCGGAAUUCCGGGAGUAGUGGUGAAAUGCGUAGAUACCCGGAGGAACACCCGUGGCGAAAGCGGCUCUCUGGGCUGUACCUGACGCUGAUACACGAAAGCGUGGGGAGCAAACCGGAUUAGAAACCCCAGUAGUCC